GGUUAAGCGACUAAGCGUACACGGUGGAUGCCCUGGCAGUCAGAGGCGAUGAAGGACGUGCUAAUCUGCGAUAAGCGUCGGUAAGGUGAUAUGAACCGUUAUAACCGGCGAUUUCCGAAUGGGGAAACCCAGUGUGUUUCGACACACUAUCAUUAACUGAAUCCAUAGGUUAAUGAGGCGAACCGGGGGAACUGAAACAUCUAAGUACCCCGAGGAAAAGAAAUCAACCGAGAUUCCCCCAGUAGCGGCGAGCGAACGGGGAGGAGCCCAGAGCCUGAAUCAGUGUGUGUGUUAGUGGAAGC
RNAcentral lists this ribosomal RNA (302 nucleotides) under Escherichia coli. RNAcentral's name for it is "partial 23S ribosomal RNA". It matches the Rfam family "Bacterial large subunit ribosomal RNA", at positions 1 to 307 of the family's 2925-position model. The record is from RNAcentral. Lineage: Bacteria; Pseudomonadati; Pseudomonadota; Gammaproteobacteria; Enterobacterales; Enterobacteriaceae.